AGGGAGGGACCUGGCUGCUGGGAGUGUACCAAGAUACCAGAGGUGGGGCUAGGCUGGGAGAAGGCCCGGGGGGCUCCGGUUUGGAAAUCCCCAGGCUGUGGCCUAGUGGAAGGCCAAAUAGGUACUGGGGUUGCAGGGGGCAGCCCAAAAGGGGUAGGCAGAGGCAGCAGGUCCAAAUCCCCUUGCCUGUGAUGAGUGGCAUUUAUACUGCAGUCUUCCCCAGUUAACGGGGGCUCUAUGGAGACUGGGCAGUAGCCAUAUACUAAGGCAAGGUGGGGACAGGGGUUCCCCUGGAAGGGGGAGACCCAGAGACUGUGGGGUUAUUACCAGGGGGCAGCACCCCAGUGGAAAGGGGCACCGGGGUCCAGGAGCGACAUGGGGGCCCAGUGGUAGCGGGACAGAGGGCGCUCCAGAGGCUGGAAGCUAAUUCCCUGAGAGACCAGCAGGAAGUGCCACAGUGAGCAAUUUCAACUGCAUAUAUCUGGGCUGUCAACAAUUUUGAAAUGAAAUAUUGGAAAAUGAGGUGUGACCUGAGGUGUGACCCAAGGUGCCUACAGAAGCCCACACUGAAAAUGCCAAGGCCAACUUUAAGCCAAGCUGUGGCUCAGAAACAAGGACUUCUGCGUCAACUCAGCAAAGCACUUGAGCACAUGCUUAACUUUAAGCAAACACUUAUGUGGCAGGGUCUCCACUCCUUGGUAGGUUGAUCCAGACCCUUACAGCCUUGGGGGAGGCAGGAAUCACUUCAGUGCACAGAUCUAGGACUGCACUGUUAUAGCAAAGCCCAGUACUUCCAUGCAGGCAUAACAAAUCCAAAUUAUCUAAAAGCAGCUCGACUUCCAUCAGUCAAACUGUCUCAACUGCCCCUCUGGCCUCUGCAACUUAGUCCCAGAUUAAGAAACUUCCUUCCCUUUGGGCCCAUCUUUACAUGCAGUGCAGGUUCAAAGACCACAUGCUCGGGCUCCUUCCUAGACCCAAGCCUGUCCUCCAGCCCUGAGCUCAGACUCUCAACCUGUAGCAGCCACAUGCGCCCUAUCCUGCCACCUGUACAGUCCUUUCCUCAAUGGCAACCCCAUUCUCAAGUCAAAGGAGAGCUGGCAGCAGAGGGUACAGCCUGGCUUUCCUACCAGCACCUCAGCCAACCAGGACUUUGUGGGAGAAAAGGACAGCUAGGAGGGCAGGACCUACCUUCCCGGUACUGUUGCUGUUCUGUACAAUGGGAGCGCCAAGAUUAAACCCCCGGACUUCAAUAAGACUUGAGCACAUGCGUAAUGACAAUCUGGUUCAUAAAUCCCUUACAUUGGUUAAUCCGGGCAUUUAGCAGGGCAACAUGGAGAAGGAUGAAAGAGGGAGAGAUUCACUGGGAAGGGGACAGGUCUAUAAGCAGAAAACAGGGCCGGCUCUACUGUUUUUGCUGCCCUAACGGCACACGGACUGCCCUGCUGUCCGCAGCGGCAAUUCGGCGGCAGCUUCUAUCUUUAGCUGGAAGACAGAAGCUGCGCCACCCAGGGCCAGCUCCAGGGGUUUUGCCGCCCCAAGCAGCAGCAAAAAAAAAAGGCCGAGAUCGCGAUCUGCAGUAAUUCAGCAGGAGGUCCUUCGCUCCAAGCGGGAGUGAGGGACCCUCCACCGAAUUGCCGCCGAAUAGGUGAACCUGCCGCCCCUCUCCGGAGUGGCCACCCCAAGCACCUGUUUGCUAAGCUGGUGCCUGGAGCCUGCCCUGGCGCCACCUCAGACAGCUGAACAUAGAAGCUGCUGCCGAAUUGCUGCCACUGCGGAAAUGCGCGUGCCACCCUAAUGGCACAUGGACUGCCCCUGCCAUCCCCGGUGGCAAUUCAGCGCACUGCUUGGGGGCAAAAACACACAGACUGCCGCCCCUUGCAGAUUGCUGCCCCGAGCACCUGCUUGGGAUGCUGGUGCCUGGAGCCGGCCCUGGCAGAAAAGUGGGAUUUUCCCAUGGAUAGGGAGUGCUAACUGCCAUGGAGCUCAACAUGGGAUCUGACCUGAUGAUCUCAUUGCUGAAUAAUUUAGUGAGUCCUUUCAAUAGACAUCAGAAAAGAUGAGCAAUCUUCAAGGGGACCAAUGCCUAGUUGCAACCCUAUAAUAGUGUUAUCACAGGUGUGUGUGUGGGGUGGGGGAAGCUUGCUGACAAUACCCUUUUAUGUGGAGACAUUAAAAAGAAAUCCACAUGUCUGAGGUCACUAAACCUACUCUUAGGAGAUCUUCCAUUGAAUUGCUCUCUGCUUUGCAUCAGAAAGCAUGGGAGUCUUAUACUGGGAUGUGAUAUUAUUACAAUAAAUUUUUUUAAAACAAAAAACAAAGGCUGGGUUCUCAUUUCCAUAUUUUUCUCCAUUUUGUUUAAAUCUUAGAAACUGUUUGAUUGUUUCUUUUAGUUUCCUUUUGGCAUACUGCACAUUUACAUAAACAGCUGCAGAGAAAUUACAAACUAAUCCUCUGUCUUCUCUUAUUCUCUGUUAAGUUAUGUUGAGAAAAUAAAUAUGAAGGGCACAGAUGUUUCAUUUUUCUCUGCAUAAAGUAGUUUGACAUGCUGCAAAUGUUGCAGAAA
This is a long non-coding RNA of Mauremys reevesii (Reeves's turtle), 2563 nucleotides long. RefSeq lists it as uncharacterized. NCBI's taxonomy places the organism in Eukaryota, Metazoa, Chordata, Testudines, Geoemydidae. The transcript is spliced from 3 exons. The record is from RefSeq and is a predicted model, not a curated record.